UUUAUCAAAAACAUCGCCUCUUGUAACCAAAAAAUAAGAGGUCCCGCCUGCCCUGUGACUAUAAGUUUAACGGCCGCGGUAUUUUGACCGUGCGAAGGUAGCGCAAUCACUUGUCUUUUAAAUGAAGACCUGUAUGAAUGGCACAACGAGGGCUUAGCUGUCUCCUUUUUCCAGUCAAUGAAAUUGAUCUCCCCGUGCAGAAGCGGGGAUAAAUACAUAAGACGAGAAGACCCUAUGGAGCUUUAGACACUAAAGUGGAUCAUGUCAAUAACCCCUAAACAAAGGAUUGAACCAAAUGGAACCCACCCUGAUGUCUUUGGUUGGGGCGACCGCGGGGAACUAAACAACCCCCAUGUGGAGUGGGAGCACCCCUCCUACAGCUAAGAGUUACAACUCUAAUAAACAGAAUUUCUGACCAAAAAGAUCCGGCAAAGCCGAUCAACGGACCUAGUUACCCUAGGGAUAACAGCGCAAUCCUCUUUUAGAGCCCAUAUCGACAAGGGGGUUUACGACCUCGAUGUUGGAUCAGGACAUCCUAAUGGUGCAGCCGCUAUUAAGGGUUCGUUUGUUCAACGAUUAAAGUCCUACGUGAUCUGAGUUC
This 601-nucleotide ribosomal RNA is filed under the name Pungitius tymensis (Sakhalin sticlkeback). Its description in RNAcentral is "partial 16S ribosomal RNA". It matches the Rfam family "Bacterial large subunit ribosomal RNA", at positions 1803 to 2612 of the family's 2925-position model. The record is from RNAcentral. Lineage: Eukaryota; Metazoa; Chordata; Actinopteri; Perciformes; Gasterosteidae.